CUCACACACUGCAUUUUGGAGAUUUAUGGUCAUGGUUUUGCCUUCGAUGUGUUCACCUAUUCAUUCCAUUGCCACCUGAUGGUAGAAUCUUAUGUUCCUAACUCAUUGUCUAGCAGUUUUAGUCAUGAGAUGCGGGGCAUUGGCCUGAAGCUUUGAUUGGCUGGAAAGGUGAUGAAAUUUGGAGAUCUUUUUACAAGGUAAUGGGUUGGAAUUAGGAAUUCUCCAUACAGUCAAACUGCAUUCUUCCAGUAUCUCAUGUGUCCAGUAUGGUAGACUUCUAUCCUGAAUUUCUGUUAGUUAUGUAUACGCCGAACUCGUUUAUGAUGUUAGGGCGCAUCUUUGUCUGCUAUUGUUAUAAUCUUUGAGUGGUCUACUCUGCAUUUUUUUUUAACAUGAUGUUAGAAUUAGGAAUCCUCUGCCAGCCUACUGAAUCAAGCAGGUCCUGUUUACCUUCAAGAAAUUUGGCAACUAGUGGAAGCGCCCAAUUGGUAUGAAGUUGAAGAGGUCUAAUAGGAUGAUUUUUUAUCGCCAUGAUAAUCCACUAGUGAAUCACAAUUAGAAUGAAAAUGAUGCUACUUGUACUCCUUCCGUGAAAAAAUUGUUACUCAUACUGAAUUUGCCGUGCAUUGUACUGUGUAUAGAUAAGUUUAGUAUAUUGCAGAUUGUUAAUUUGCUAUGUAGAUGGUCUAAAAACUUCUUUGUGGGUAUUCAGAAAAGGCGAACCACCAAAUAGUUCUAUAGUUAUUUCUGGUGUGACUGGAACCAUUUUGUAAAUUGCUCACUUAAAUGGAACCUUCAAGUGCAUCACUAGGAUCAACAUCUCUCCGUAGAAUGUGGCAAUCUGAAACUUCUGAAUAAUGUCUAGCUAUUGCUCUAAUCUUUGAGUGGUUUUCGAUGUAGCUGCGGCUUCUGCAGAGGUUCCCUUGGAGGAGAACUUUGGUUCAUCUUCUGCGUUGAUGAGGGCUUGGGAAUGUAGCUGUAUCUUUCUAAUUUCUUCUGCAGUCAUACAAAUUGUGUGUUGAAGCAACUUCUGAUGGUGCAAUUACACUUCUAAAAAAUUUCAACAUAUUGGCCACAUCAAUAUAUAUGCUGGUGCCCGCUUUGCUCACACACUGCAUUUUGGAGGUUUAUGGUCAUGGUUUUGCCUUUGAUGUGUUCACCUAUUCAUGCCAUUGCCACCUGAUGGUAGAAUCUUCUGUCCUAAUUCAUUGUCUAGCAGUUUUAGUCAUGAGAUGCGGCGCAUUGGCCUGAAGCUUUGAUUUGCUGGAAAAGUGAUCUAAUUUGGAGAUCUUUGUACAAGAGCAUAUAUCUUAAUUGUGUGUGAUUUGUGAUGGAACGAGAAAUAGAGCCGAUCUGUACUGAAAAAGGAGGCCUGAAGAUCCAAAGAGAGAAAAGCUUCAGUAUCAGAGGGAGUUGUACGAGCUGGAGCAUUCCGCCGAUCAGAUGCGCCUUCAGUAGCCCCUGGACCAAUCAAUUCUUGUUUCUCCGCGGACUGUGGCAAUUCUUACGUGCGGUAAAUGCAUAUGAGGGAGGGCUGUGUAGUACGUGCUGGAGCUUUCUGUACCGGUAUAGCCAAUAACUCGCAAUUACGCUCGUCGAUCAGUUGUUAUGCAGUUGGACAGUCCCAUCGACCGUGCUGCUGAAGUCAGCUGUAAUGUCAUGGCAUGGCAUGAGAAGAACGUUUUCUUGACAGGACGUGUUUGUAGGAACAAUUUGUGAACCACAGCUUAAAUGCUAGGGGCCUGCUGCACUUAAUCGAACAAGGGGAAAUGAAGAGGGGGAUUUUAAUAGAAGAAAUCGUAGCGGAUGGCCAGCAAUAACUCCUCCUCAACGCACAUCCUGACAAGUCCAUUGCUCCUCGGUAACACAGAGAGAGGGAGGGAGGGAAGAAGAUUAGAGGAAGACGCAGACUGAUGAAGCAAAGACCUGGCAUUGGCCGGGCGUAGCUGGGUGGCUGUGGGCGGGCCCAUGAUUGUAAAUGUGCGCCUGUCCCGUUGCUCCAGCCUCCAGCCUCCAGCAGCCAGCAGGGAGGCCAGGUGCUUGAUCAUUGCGCCGGGCCCAUCCGUCCGUCCACGCGUUCCCGGGGAUCGAUGCAAGGUGACAGUGGCGAGUACGUGUGCGCGUGGGAUGGCGCAGCAGCCCCAAAGUUGUACUACGUGGUGGCUUGAUGAGAUGAGAAGAAGGCGCUGCCGCCUGCCGGUGGAUCUCGCAGAGUCGUGCGGGGCUGAGGUGGUGGUCAUGAAAGGUGUACUUUCGUCGCCGGCCGAGGCGAAUUCCAAUUCCAAUGGCCGAAGACGGCGACGGGUCCAGAGUCCAGACGCCCAGCGGCGUGGAAGAGAGCGCAGGCUUUCGAUGGUGUGAUGCGUGGUUCGUCCCUUUCUUCUUCGUUCGUUUCUGCUCCUUGUUCUGUGUUUUUCCAUGGAUGGUUUGCUGAGGAUGAGUUGCGCGUCCAUGCAGGCGGCACGGGGCGUGACCGGGUCUGGGACCGAUACCCGAUGCCCCUGCUUGCCGUGCGCCAUGGGAUGGGGUUUACGUACGUACGGGUUGAGCCGUUGCAUUAAUCUCAUGUACUAGCUGCACUGUAGUGCUUUCAACAUGCAUUUACGUAAUUGAUCUCAUGUACUAGCUGUACGUGCGUGUAUGUACGUACGUGCAUUAAUCUCAUGUACUAGCUGAGGACCUUCCGGUUUAGGGAUUGACACAGGUACGUAAUUGAUCAAGUCAGGUGAAUCGACCUAUGUUGAUCAUUCGUUCAUGUUGCCACUGAGCCACUGAUCAUGUGAGAGCGAUACCACUUGACCUCUUCCAGCCGAGCGAAUCCAUUCAUCAACUGAGAAAGGCACAAGUCCAUCAUGCCUGGGCAUGGCAUGGGAGAUGCGAGUCGUCCCGGAAACGGUUUGUUCGUUUCAUCAAAGCGAGUCGAGUCAAUGCCGGCCCGCCCAUGCAACUAUGCAAGGAAGAAUUGAGGCCGCCAACUUUG
Long non-coding RNA from Triticum aestivum (bread wheat), 2980 nucleotides. RefSeq lists it as uncharacterized. The record is from RefSeq and is a predicted model, not a curated record. NCBI's taxonomy places the organism in Eukaryota, Viridiplantae, Streptophyta, Magnoliopsida, Poales, Poaceae. The transcript is spliced from 6 exons.